Molecule: non-coding RNA, 150 nt
Organism: Caenorhabditis elegans
Lineage: Eukaryota; Metazoa; Nematoda; Chromadorea; Rhabditida; Rhabditidae
Source: Ensembl
AACUCUUCGAAAAUCCGAACCGAGGAAGGACACACCGUCGUCUCCGUGUACUUUAAUAUAUUACGAAACAUUGCAAGAGGAGAAAGAAGUGGGUGAGCUAGUGUGUGAUUGGUCACACUCACCUACACAAAAAAGGGCAAUAGAAAAGAG